UACGUAUGGAGCAAGCGUUAUCCGGAUUUACUGGGUGUAAAGGGAGCGUAGACGGCGAGGCAAGUCUGAUGUGAAAGGUGUGGGCUCAACUCACAAACUGCAUUGGAAACUGGUUUGCUAGAGUGUCGGAGAGGUAAGUGGAAUUCCUAGUGUAGCGGUGAAAUGCGUAGAUAUUAGGAGGAACACCAGCGGCGAAGGCGGCUUACUGGACGAUAACUGACGUUGAGGCUCGAAAGCGUGGGGAGCAAAC
Molecule: ribosomal RNA, 250 nt
Filed under: uncultured prokaryote
Description: partial 16S ribosomal RNA
Rfam family: Bacterial small subunit ribosomal RNA
Source: RNAcentral